This 68-nucleotide small RNA is filed under the name Salmonella enterica. RNAcentral describes it as "partial RtT sRNA". It matches the Rfam family "RtT RNA", at positions 1 to 68 of the family's 130-position model. From Rfam's summary of the family: This family represents a bacterial cis-regulatory element known as RtT RNA. The exact function of RtT is unknown although it is thought that it may be involved in changing the cellular response in relation to amino acid starvation. The record is from RNAcentral. Lineage: Bacteria; Pseudomonadati; Pseudomonadota; Gammaproteobacteria; Enterobacterales; Enterobacteriaceae. RNAcentral also lists the same sequence under 1 other name.
AUAUCUCUCUGUACGGGAAGGAUGAGAAGCUUCGACCAAGGUUCGAUUCGAGCGCAGCGAGAAAGCGU